GCCGCAGCUGCGGCAUACAGGGUCCAGUCGCAUUAAGCCCCGAAUUUUCGGGGUUUUUUGUUAUCAGGAAUCGCAACACUGGGCUAUAUGCCCUUUUUUU
Pantoea sp. PSNIH2 is the source of this 100-nucleotide non-coding RNA. The record is from Rfam. NCBI's taxonomy places the organism in Bacteria, Pseudomonadati, Pseudomonadota, Gammaproteobacteria, Enterobacterales, Erwiniaceae.